Molecule: ribosomal RNA, 386 nt
Filed under: uncultured Streptococcus sp.
Lineage: Bacteria; Bacillati; Bacillota; Bacilli; Lactobacillales; Streptococcaceae
Description: bacterial SSU rRNA
Rfam family: Bacterial small subunit ribosomal RNA
Source: RNAcentral
GCUUAUUUCUAGAGAUAGAAAGUUACUUCGGUACAUCGGUGACAGGUGGUGCAUGGUUGUCGUCAGCUCGUGUCGUGAGAUGUUGGGUUAAGUCCCGCAACGAGCGCAACCCCUAUUGUUAGUUGCCAUCAUUCAGUUGGGCACUCUAGCGAGACUGCCGGUAAUAAACCGGAGGAAGUGGGAUGACGUCAAAUCAUCAUGCCCCUUAUGACCUGGGCUACACACGUGCUACAAUGGUUGGUACAACGAGUUGCGAGUCGGUGACGGCGAGCUAAUCUCUUAAAGCCAAUCUCAGUUCGGAUUGUAGGCUGCAACUCGCCUACAUGAAGUCGGAAUCGCUAGUAAUCGCGGAUCAGCACGCCGCGGUGAAUACGUUCCCGGGCCUU